This 441-nucleotide ribosomal RNA is filed under the name uncultured bacterium. Its description in RNAcentral is "bacterial SSU rRNA". It matches the Rfam family "Bacterial small subunit ribosomal RNA", at positions 29 to 507 of the family's 1533-position model. The record is from RNAcentral.
AGUGAACGCUGGCGGUAUGCCUAACACAUGCAAGUCGUACGAGAGUUUUUAACUCUAGUGGCGGACGGGUGAGUAACACGUGAGAAUUUGCCUUUAGGAGGGGGAUAACAAUUGGAAACGAAUGCUAAUACCCCAUAUGCUUUUGAGUGAAAUGGAUUUUAUCCGCCUAGAGAGAAGCUCGCGGCUGAUUAGCUUGUUGGUAAGGUAAGAGCUUACCAAGGCGACGAUCAGUAUCUGGUUUGAGAGGACGAUCAGACACACUGGAACUGAGACACGGUCCAGACUCCUACGGGAGGCAGCAGUGGGGAAUUUUCCGCAAUGGGCGAAAGCCUGACGGAGCAAUACCGCGUGAGGGAAGAAUGCCUAUGGGUUGUAAACCUCUUUUUUCGGGGAGGAAUAAAAUGACGUGUACCUGAAGAAUAAGCAUCGGCUGACUCCGUG